Molecule: long non-coding RNA, 889 nt
Organism: Sapajus apella (tufted capuchin)
Lineage: Eukaryota; Metazoa; Chordata; Mammalia; Primates; Cebidae
Exons: 2
Source: RefSeq, a predicted model, not a curated record
UGCAAGAUGACUCUUCUUAAGGUAGGGGAGACGCUGAGGGCAGAGGAAACGUGCUGUGGCUUAGUUGAACCAAGGGGGACGUUGAACUAAGUUGAUAAUGGCUCUAGAUAAAAACUGGAAUCCUAUCAAAGGUCAAGACAAGACUAGAAACAGAAAGAUAAUCAAUGGAGGAUCAGUGAGCUCAGAGGCCGGAAGGAUUCAAGCCAGGAUGGCAGGCAGAGUGAGGUGUGGAAGAAGCCUGUGCUUCAGAAUGAGUUCUUGGAUAGGGAGGGGAUCUCAGAGGUCCUUCUGAGUGGAGGAGGUGCUGUCCAGGUUGCAGAGAUGAAUGUGAUAGCUAAAAGGGAUCUCUCGAGGCUGGCCACCUUUCCCAUGGCACUGAGACUCUGUACGUUUCAUCCAGUGGUGGUCUUUCUUUGUUCAUACCUUCAAACUAUGCUUAAGGUCCUUUCAAAUGUCUGACCUGAAAUGAACUUGUAGACAAAGUUAACACUGAAGAACCCUGUGACAGAAAACUUUGAAAAGAGUUUACGGAUGUCUAGCCUUUUAAUGGAAGUCCUCAUUUGUACUUCAGCUACUGGUAACGUUUUUAUCCGUGAAUGGUUUGCUUGGGACUCAGACUUCAUGCUUGAAGAAAUGCAGGCAGACCUGUUAUCCCAAAAACUAGGGUUUUUAAUGACCACACCAAUCAAGCAUCCAGUUUACCCCUUGAAAGGGUCUUGCCUCACCAAGGCUGGAGUGCAGUGGCUCUUUGAGGCUUACUACAGCCUCAAACUCCUGGGCUCAAAUGAUCCUCAGCCUCCCAGAGGACUUUGCAGACAAGCUAAUGGAGUCUCGUGGUACAAGAAGAUUAAACAGUGUCUCCAAUUUCAAUAAGUUUCUGCAAUCCAUC